AAAUCCUCAACCUUUCAGCUUUUGUUGAUUAGGCUUGGACUUUGGGAGUUUUUGCAGGCUUCUCAGUGGUCUGCUCUUCUUAAAUAUAUCGAUGCCGGGGCCUCCUGUUGUCUAGCAUAUGGUGUGAUAGUUAUCUACGCCAUUACGAACAAAUGUAAUAAGGAGGCUCAGCUUCUAAUUGUCUUUUAAGAGGCAAUCUCUGACAUUUU
This 209-nucleotide unclassified non-coding RNA is filed under the name Tricholoma bakamatsutake. RNAcentral's name for it is "ITS2;putative". The record is from RNAcentral. Lineage: Eukaryota; Fungi; Basidiomycota; Agaricomycetes; Agaricales; Tricholomataceae.